AUGAUAGCGCGACAGCGAAAUAUUGAAAAUCUAAAUAUUAUGUUAACUGUAAACAACACGUGCGGCUAGCAAACAAACAACACCUGCACUUGUUUACGACACACGUGCAAGGUACGGUAGUGGGGACAACCCUUAUAAGACGGCGAGCCGCACGAGUUGCACCAUUCUUGUGUCGAACUCCGUACAGAGAACAUCCAAUAAAAGUAACCCGUGACAGUGAACCAUUGUUUAACUGGCGCUAUGCGUCCUCCACAAAGGUCACUGUUACCUUGGGAUCAGAGUAUAAUAUUCGUACUUUAACAUCAGAAGUAGAGGAUCGUCCUGCUGCCCACCCAUUAUAUUGAAAAAGACGGCCACAAAGGAUGAAACUAAGUUUCAAAUACUCGUAUUAUCCUGAUAAGAUAAUAAUCGUGGAUGGAGUCAGGAUCGAGGAUAAUGGUGCCUACCUGCAUUUGAAUACUAUUGUUACGGUGAGUCGUUUUCAUACUGGAACUUUAUUGUUAUUGACUUCAUUGCUGGGUGUAUUUUAAUUUUUAAUAAUGAGGAAAUUGAUUUCAAAUUAACUUGGAAAGUACUAUUUCUCUUUAUUUUAAAACAAAAUUGACGAGAUAUAUUCCCGCAAUACGUGUCAAUCAUAAUUCAAACCGCGUUUUCAAAUCGGUUUUCAUCAUUGUCAAAUCUUGGUAUUUUGGUCUAAAAAUGUUUUGAAUUGGUGCAGACACGCUAACGCUGCGUGGUUUAAGCUGUAUUUUCUCACUCCAAGCAAUAAAGAAAUAAACUUUCGUUAAAUUACAACGUGAUUUGUAAUCUACCGUCAUUAAUCAAAUCUUUAUAAACCGAUUGAAAGAGUCAUGUGAAUGUGAUAAUACACCUAGUUAUUUUGUUUCAUGUGACCACUGCUAAAUGACGACGAGUGAAUGACAAACGGCGAAGGCGUUACAGCAUGGCACACUCUGAGAGUGGCAGCCGUGCCGCGUGUGUGCCGUGUGGUGGUGACUUCGUGGCAGCGUAUUGUAUACUAAGCUGGCGCUUGAUUGCCGAUAGCCGCCAUUUCUUUUAAUAGAUUAUCAGAAUGACCGAACAAUCUUCAGAAAGCAAGAAACGUUUCGAUUCCAAAUGUGCUAAAGUAAAAUUAUUUCAUCCAGGAGACUUUGUGCUUUGUAAAGCAACCCAAUGGUCUAAAAACAAGCUAGGUCCUAAAUAUUUAGGGCCAUAUCAAAUUGUAAAAAUUAUUGGCAAUAAUCGAUACGAAAUACAAAGUCUUCGUCCUGGCCAAAAAAAAAAUACUACAAUAGCUCAUGAACAUCUCAGAUUAAUACCAAACCCGAA
Long non-coding RNA from Pectinophora gossypiella (pink bollworm), 1329 nucleotides. RefSeq lists it as uncharacterized. The record is from RefSeq and is a predicted model, not a curated record. The transcript has 2 exons. NCBI's taxonomy places the organism in Eukaryota, Metazoa, Arthropoda, Insecta, Lepidoptera, Gelechiidae.